AUAGGGAAAAAUACUUUUAUCCGCAGCUUCAUCAUUCAGGAACACGGAAAAUAAAUUACAUCUUUUAUCAACGGUCGUAAUAAAUGUUGAAAAUCAGUAACACUGAACUUAUAUAGAGCUACCGUUCAAAUCAAAGUUUUUUAGAACUUAGUUUCACGGGUUUUCUCUUAGCUCAAAUCUCUCUCUCACAAAACCUAUAAUUUUCAAAGCUCUAGCAAUCACUAUUCACAUCUCAAAAUUUCUCUUCCAAUUUCCAUAACUAAACUUUUCAAAAUUUUUUUUUUUUUUUUCAUGGGACGAAGCUCCUCUCCGCCUGGCACUAGCGAGAGUGGUGGCAAUGGAGAAGGCGGUGACGCUUUCCGCUCAAUCCGCGAUCAUUUCCCUAUGAAGCGAAACUGACUCAAGUCCGACACGGAUCGUCCGGUUCUUCUCCGUAGUCGAUCUCACCCGACCCGCUUCAAUCGCAAGAGUUUGCCCUGGCUGAAGGAGAAGUCAGCAUUCUACUUCUUGGUGCUUCUUGCUGUGUUCCUCUAUGCAAUUUCGUCGAUGGUGUUGCAGAGCUUGAUCACAACGGUGUCAAGGCAAGGAAGCGAGCAAGGCCGGAGGUUGAAUAGGGAAGGAUUGAGGAUUGGAGUUGCGAGGCUGGAGGUUGAAUUGUCUCGAUUCGUUGUGAUCGAAGCUGAGGAUUGGAGUUAGGGCACCAAAGCUCGCACGUGUGAGGUUUUUCAAUUUCUUUGGUAUUUGAUUCUAAGUUAUUGUUUGCAUGUUUGAUUUUAUGGCUUUAGUAAAUAGUUCUCCUAGAAUGGAAUUUGAGUUUACUUCCUUUUAUUUUUGAUAGUGCAUUGGAAUUUCAAAGCUCACAUUAAUGCUUUGUUUGGUUGCUGUGAAAAUUAGAGUCCAUCAACGUGUUACUUUUGCAGUAUUUUCCUCAAUUUUUGAAACCAGAGGCCAAUAGGAAGGCCACAAACAACUUAGUCUAUGUUUUUCACAUUCUUACAACAAAUUUUGACUACAUCAUUAUGUGACAUUAUUCCACUAUGUCAUCACAUGUUGAUGCAGGGUAUAUAUUCCUUACCCGUUUCAAUGGGAAAGCCCCACAUUUCAUGCCGGAGAAGCUUUUGCUAUGAUUGCCGCUUCUUUUGUUUCACUUUUUGAGGCUCACUUCUAAGAAACAAAUUCAUGUAUUUCUUGUUUAUUAGCUAGCUACUCUGCGAUCAAGUUCUCUAAUUAUGAUAAGGAGGAGGUGAGGAGAGAAGAGAACACAGUGGGACCCAUGGCUAAGGAGGAGGAGGAGGUGGAGGUGGGGUCCAGCUUGACCAUGAAGAGGGUGGCUGUGGCUAAACAGUAUAUAAAGAGCCACUACAAGGCUUAGAUGAAGCACAUCCAAGAACACAAGGAGAGGUACUGGAAAUUGUCUCUUUUAGUGCACCUGGAUAAAUGCCCUCAUCCUCAGGCUCAUCAAACAUUUAUCAAAUUAAAUAAAUCUUUUAAAGAAUUGAAAGAUCCAAAUAAGGUAAAAUAAGCCCUACAUCAUCUAGUUGGGCUUGCUUGUCUACCAUGGAUUUUCCUUCCUUUUGCCGCAUUUCGCUCAAGUAGCCUUCAUUUAAGGUUAUAAUAAAUAGGUGGAGCACUUGGAACUAAUGGGCCGUGAAGGAGGACAACUUUAGUUGUGUACCAUUAUGUUGGUCAUAGUUGAACUGCUUGGGACAUCAUUGAGUUUCUAUAUUACAUAUAAGAACUAAAGACACAGAUUGGUAGGACUUUUCCUCCCACUUUAUGGUCAAGUGUCUGCCUUAUGGCAUGUAUUAACUCAAGGCAACCAAGGGUGGGAGGAGAGUCAUUGCUCGAAGAAUAGCAAAGGGCCGGUCAAGAAUUACGGCUUAGCAUCCUUGCCUUUGGUUUGAAUACAAAUCAUAUGAUCUCUUUCUUAGUUAUGCUAAAGUUUGUAGUUUCAAUGCCUGUAAACUUCAAUUUUGUUAUAUUGAUUUUGGUUUAACCUCUAUCCAUUGUAAGAACAAGAAACAAAGGAAAAAGAUAAGGGUGCAGUGAUCUAGAGCUAUAGUAAUAUAUGUGAUUUUGGUUUAACCUCUAUCCAUUGUAUAACAGUGUAUGUAUCGAACUAAAAGUCUUAUUUUUUGGUUUUGGCGAUUA
Long non-coding RNA from Quercus lobata, 2151 nucleotides. RefSeq lists it as uncharacterized. NCBI's taxonomy places the organism in Eukaryota, Viridiplantae, Streptophyta, Magnoliopsida, Fagales, Fagaceae. The transcript is spliced from 5 exons. The record is from RefSeq and is a predicted model, not a curated record.